This 468-nucleotide ribosomal RNA is filed under the name uncultured bacterium. RNAcentral's name for it is "partial 16S ribosomal RNA". It matches the Rfam family "Bacterial small subunit ribosomal RNA", at positions 28 to 507 of the family's 1533-position model. The record is from RNAcentral.
GACGAACGCUGGCGGCGUGCUUAACACAUGCAAGUCGAACGGAAAGGCCCUGCUUUUGUGGGGUGCUCGAGUGGCGAACGGGUGAGUAACACGUGAGUAACCUGCCCUUGACUUUGGGAUAACUUCAGGAAACUGGGGCUAAUACCGGAUAGGAGCUCCUGCUGCAUGGUGGGGGUUGGAAAGUUUCGGCGGUUGGGGAUGGACUCGCGGCUUAUCAGCUUGUUGGUGGGGUAGUGGCUUACCAAGGCUUUGACGGGUAGCCGGCCUGAGAAGGUGACCGGCCACAUUGGGACUGAAAUACGGCCCAGACUCCUACGGGAGGCAGCAGUGGGGAAUAUUGCACAAUGGGCGGAAGCCUGAUGCAGCAACGCCGCGUGCGGGAUGACGGCCUUCGGGUUGUAAACCGCUUUCGCCUGUGACGAAGCGUGAGUGACGGUAAUGGGUAAAGAAGCACCGGCUAACUACGUG